GGGGAAUAUUGCACAAUGGGCGAAAGCCUGAUGCAGCAACGCCGCGUGAGUGAUGAAGGCCUUCGGGUUGUAAAGCUCUGUCUUCUGGGACGAUAAUGACGGUACCAGAGGAGGAAGCCACGGCUAACUACGUGCCAGCAGCCGCGGUAAUACGUAGGUGGCAAGCGUUGUCCGGAUUUACUGGGCGUAAAGGAUGCGUAGGCGGAUACUUAAGUCAGAUGUGAAAAUCCCGGGCUUAACUUGGGAACUGCAUUUGAAACUGGGUAUCUAGAGUGCGGGAUAGGAAAGUGGAAUUCCUAGUGUAGCGGUGAAAUGCGUAGAGAUUGGGAAGAACACCAGUCGCGAAGGCGACUUUCUGGACCGUAACUGACGCUGAGGCAUGAAAGCGUGGGGAGCAAACA
RNAcentral lists this ribosomal RNA (401 nucleotides) under uncultured bacterium. RNAcentral describes it as "bacterial SSU rRNA". It matches the Rfam family "Bacterial small subunit ribosomal RNA", at positions 356 to 774 of the family's 1533-position model. The record is from RNAcentral.